Long non-coding RNA from Podarcis raffonei (Aeolian wall lizard), 1838 nucleotides. RefSeq lists it as uncharacterized. Lineage: Eukaryota; Metazoa; Chordata; Lepidosauria; Squamata; Lacertidae. The record is from RefSeq and is a predicted model, not a curated record. The transcript has 2 exons.
UGCCUUCAUGUGAUUGCCACCUGCGCCUUGCCAACUCAGUCCUGCUGCUCUGCGUGGGAAGCUGCUUGGAGCUCCGCCUGAAAAGCAGAGCUCCAGUAGAACUCUGAAAACUCUGUACAAGACUAAUCUCUCUCUCUCUCUCUCUCUCUCUCUCUCUCUCACACACACACACACACACACCCCUGCCAAAUAGUGUGGUAUUUUAUUGGAGCUUCUUAUGUUUGCUACUUUGCUUGAAAAAGCUACUGUGCUAUUUAUUCUAUUAAAGCCCAGUCUACUAGGAUCCUUCCCCGCCUAUUGAAAUCUCUCCAAUCUCUGCCCCACCCCACCCAGCCCCUGCUUAUGUUUGGAAUGUGUUUUUAAAUAUUGGUAAAGGGUGUGGAUUGGGAAGGAGCAUGCAAGGGAGUCAGUGAGGAACAACACUCAAGGACUGCCAAAGCAUAAAGAUCAGGAACUUACUUUUGGAAUAAGUUAGCUAAUGUUCUGCUUUCCCCACAUUCUAAUAAUAUUCACACUCUGCAUGCAUAAAAAAAGAUAGAGAAAUGGUGUGGAGCUAAAUUGGCAAUAAGAACUGAAGAACACCUCUGGUGUCAGCUUCUGCCUGUCAAGAAAGACCAUGCUGGGAAGGAAAUGCUUUCCUUGUCAAAGCAAAAGGCAUCUGAGAAUUGAGUGGUUGGGAUCCAUAGCUCAGUGUUUUGCAUGAGGAAGGGCCCUGGUCCAAUCCUUGGCAUCUUCAGGUAGGGCUAGGAAAAGACCCCUGCCUGAAACCUCCAAGUCUUGCUGCCUCUCAGUAGUGAGCUAGAUGGAUUAUGGUCUUACUCACUAUAAGGCAGUUUCCUCUUAGCUGUGAUCUUUCCAUUAGACACAACCCUGGUAAGUCACAUGACAACUAUACUGAGCUUGCGAGGGGUAUAGGAAGAUGCCUUACAGUGUACCAAACCAGGGGCAGGCAUGUCCUGUUUUACAGCUUGAGGUGAAAUGGGAAGCGCCACCUUGCCUUGCCGCUGCUCCGACCACCACCUACCUGCUCCUGCCACUGCCACAUGCCUUGCCACAUCUGCUAUUGGCAGAAAAGCAGCAGUCACAGGAGCAGGCAGGGGGUUGGUGGGAAAGGAGAGAGACAACCAGUACAGUCCACACAGCAGCAUGUACAACAUGCCAAAAUGAUUAGCCAGUGAUAUGAGACUCUCGGGAGCAGAUCUGACCCUAUUUUGGUAGUACUUAAAGAUCUCAGACUCAUCCCACAAAGAAGCAGAGGAAUCACUUGCCCCAUGGCUUCCUCCCAAGCUGCUUGGCUAAUACCCAUAUGUUGGCAGUGUUCGGGUUUCCUUCCUGGCCCAGCAGCUAAGGAGGAAGGGGUCAUCAUGGGAUGAAAUCAUUCAGAGGUAUGGGCAUGUGUGUAGGCGUCUUCACCUAUUACACUAUCUGUACACAUGUACAAGUGUCUGAGUGAAAGUGUGUACAUUUAUUGCUUUGCAUAGCUCAACUAUUUAUGUACACAGGUACAUAGACGGUACUCUAGUUGAAUGUAACAGGAGAAUAACUCUUAUGCCAUAUAUGCCAUCCCGCCACUGCCCCCCAGCCACCACUGACUUACGAAGAUGAAUUCUUAUAGGAGUCUAUUAAUGUAAUGAAAUCAUUCAUUAUUAACACCUGCCACAAACUACAUACAAUACGCUUUAAUCUGUAAGGUCUAUUUAUAAUCAUUAUAUGCACAAUAUAUAUAUUAACUAAUAUUGGAAGACUUGCAAAAUGUAUACAUAGCAGCUUUUUGUUUUUUACUGUGUUGCUUUUCACGCCUAUGGAUGCAUUAAACACUUCAGAUAGUUAUUUUUAAA